UGUCCCGGCUAACCCCGGAGAGCAGCCCCCGCGGGACUCCUGGUGGUGACUUUCCCUGGUGGUGACUUUCUUGGCUAGUGUUUGGGACGAGAGCUCUUCAUCUGGCACGUUUUCUAGCAGCAUGGACCGGGCUGUUAAGGCGCACUUAAGUCCAUCAGGCCCGAGUGGGAAUCCAAGAAGAAGCCCAGUGGGGUUGCCUCCCAGGUGGUCAGGGCUACUCCCCAAUGCCACCCACCUCAACAUCAUGGCUAGCCUGUCUACAUGCUCACUGGCCCGUGGAUUCCUGUGCCCAUGGACUCCUGGCACACCUCUCCCUUUCUGAGAUAUCAUUCCAGGAAAUUUCUCUUCUACUUAAGUGAACCAGAGUCCAUUUCUGUUGUCUGCAAUUAAGAACCCUAAUCGGCACAAAGACCCAUUGAAAUCUUCAGCCAGAGGAAGUGACAUGAUCAGAGCACUUUAUGGGCGAGAAAAAAUAGAAAAAUCUGAUAAAGAUAGAUUGAAGAGAGAAAAACAGGAAUGAGAGAGGCCAGUUGGGAGGUCUUCAUGACGUUUGGGGUGUAUGAUGAAGCACGAGAUUGCCAGUGCCAAAGAAGUGGGAGAAACAGCAGCUUUUGGCCACUGACUGGAUAUGGAAAAAAGAAGAGAAGGGAAAGUCCACGUUGACAGAGUUUUGAGUCUUAGCAACUAGGAAAACAAUAAUGUUACAAAGAGAAACAAGCAAGUCAAGGAAAACAGUUUGGAGGGGGAAAUCUUCCAUUCAUUUAUUCAACAACUAUUAAUUGCCUGCUCUAUGCCAGGCACUGUUCUAGGCAUUGGGAAGACAGCAGUGGGGAAAACAAAGUCUCAGUUCUAAAUUAAUAAAUACAUACAUGAGAUAA
This is a long non-coding RNA of Lynx canadensis (Canada lynx), 878 nucleotides long. RefSeq lists it as uncharacterized. The record is from RefSeq and is a predicted model, not a curated record. NCBI's taxonomy places the organism in Eukaryota, Metazoa, Chordata, Mammalia, Carnivora, Felidae. The transcript is spliced from 3 exons.